AGUGAACGCUGGCGGUAGACCUAACACAUGCAAGUCGAACGGCAGCACAGUAAGAGCUUGCUCUUACGGGUGGCGAGUGGCGGACGGGUGAGGAAUACAUCGGAAUCUACUUUUUCGUGGGGGAUAACGUAGGGAAACUUACGCUAAUACCGCAUACGACCUACGGGUGAAAGCAGGGGAUCUUCGGACCUUGCGCGAUUGAAUGAGCCGAUGUCGGAUUAGCUAGUUGGCGGGGUAAAGGCCCACCAAGGCGACGAUCCGUAGCUGGUCUGAGAGGAUGAUCAGCCACACUGGAACUGAGACACGGUCCAGACUCCUACGGGAGGCAGCAGUGGGGAAUAUUGGACAGUGGGCGCAAGCCUGAUCCAGCCAUACCGCGUGGGUGAAGAAGGCCUUCGGGUUGUAAAGCCCUUUUGUUGGGAAAGAAAAGCAGCAGGUUAAUACCCCGCUGUUCUGACGGUACCCAAAGAAUAAGCACCGGCUAACUUCGUG
This 492-nucleotide ribosomal RNA is filed under the name uncultured bacterium. Its description in RNAcentral is "partial 16S ribosomal RNA". It matches the Rfam family "Bacterial small subunit ribosomal RNA", at positions 29 to 507 of the family's 1533-position model. The record is from RNAcentral.